Molecule: non-coding RNA, 139 nt
Organism: Gossypium arboreum
Lineage: Eukaryota; Viridiplantae; Streptophyta; Magnoliopsida; Malvales; Malvaceae
Source: Rfam
UGUUAAAAUUCCAUCCAUUUCUACUAUUAAUGACUUGAUUGACAAAAUAACUAGAUAGUUAUACGUGAAGGGUCGUGCAUAUCUCAUUUUGAUGUACAAAAUCAAUUUUUAACAGUAGAAAUUGAUAGAAUUUUUAACA